UACGGAGGGUGCAAGCGUUAUCCGGAUUCACUGGGUUUAAAGGGUGUGUAGGCGGGCGUUUAAGUCAGUGGUGAAAUCUCCGAGCUUAACUUGGAAACUGCCAUUGAUACUAUUCGUUCUUGAAUUCUGUUGAGGUGGGCGGAAUAUGUCAUGUAGCGGUGAAAUGCAUAGAUAUGACAUAGAACACCGAUUGCGAAGGCAGCUCACUAAGCAGAACAUUGACGCUGAGGCACGAAAGCGUGGGGAUCAAACAGG
Molecule: ribosomal RNA, 255 nt
Filed under: uncultured bacterium
Lineage: Bacteria
Description: partial 16S ribosomal RNA
Rfam family: Bacterial small subunit ribosomal RNA
Source: RNAcentral